Long non-coding RNA from Daphnia pulex (common water flea), 356 nucleotides. RefSeq lists it as uncharacterized. The record is from RefSeq and is a predicted model, not a curated record. Lineage: Eukaryota; Metazoa; Arthropoda; Branchiopoda; Diplostraca; Daphniidae. The transcript has 3 exons.
GUACAAAGCCGACUGCCCAGUCCCAGUGGUGUCAUGUGUCACUCAGUAUUUAAGGAAAACCUAUUUGCCAGAUUUCUAAAAACUUGCCUGGCUCUCUCUAUAGCAGGGGCAGGGGUAUGGAGAGGAUUUGUAUGAUGGAUUUGGAGGUCACGCAAAACCCGAAAUUUACCCAAAAGGUGCCGGUUCCUCCAGUUCAUCACUUUCAGGCACUAAAAAGAAGAGAGGACCAGUCACAAUGAAAAUUAAAGGUAAAACGCAGACCACGACAUUAGAUUACUUUUACUCUCAAUAAUAUACAUUGAAGAUGUUAAUUUGCUGCUAAUAGUCUAUCCAUCAAUGUCCUCCAAAAACAAAUU